AUGGAAUCAACGAAAUGUUCCUGCAAUAAGAUGUAUUUAUUUAGACGAAGUAUCCGCUUUCCCUCACAUAAUAUGUUCAUGUUCACGACAGGCCGCCCGCAAAUUGCUGCAUGCAACAUCGAUGUAGCUCUGAUCCAGAACCUGGUUCUUGGAUGCAACACGCAUUGUCCUGGACAGUCUAGAUGUAGAUGUACUGUUGUUGUUGAUGCUAUAGCUGUAGCCUGUACUAUUGCUGUUUUGCUACUACAGUUAGCUGCUGCUGCUUCUAUUGCUUGUGCAAUUGUGCUAGUAGCCAGUAGAUGUUCAUUGCAUGACCUGCACUAG
RNAcentral lists this ribosomal RNA (324 nucleotides) under Triticum aestivum (bread wheat). RNAcentral's name for it is "partial small subunit ribosomal RNA". The record is from RNAcentral. Lineage: Eukaryota; Viridiplantae; Streptophyta; Magnoliopsida; Poales; Poaceae.